RNAcentral lists this ribosomal RNA (393 nucleotides) under uncultured Marinifilum sp. RNAcentral describes it as "bacterial SSU rRNA". It matches the Rfam family "Bacterial small subunit ribosomal RNA", at positions 494 to 883 of the family's 1533-position model. The record is from RNAcentral. Lineage: Bacteria; Pseudomonadati; Bacteroidota; Bacteroidia; Marinilabiliales; Marinifilaceae.
CGGCCAGCUACACGCCGGUGGCCGCGGUUGUACGGAGUUUCCGGGCGUUAUCCGGAUUCAAUGGGUUUAAAGGGUCCGUAGGGGAAUCCGUAAGUCAAAGUUGAAAUCUGCCUGCUAAACUGAAAAACUGCAGUUGAUACUAAGGGUCUUGAAUUCCGUGGGGGGAGGGUGAAAUGCGUAGUGUAGCGGUGAAAUGCCUAUAUCUGAAGUAGAACACCGGUUGCGAACGCAACCUAACUACGCGAAAACUGACGCUGAGGACCGGAAUGCGGAGGGGAUGGAAAACGAUUAAAUAACCUGGUAGUCCACGCCGUUAACCGAUGAUUACUCGCUGUGGGGGAUAUACAGCUCGUGGCCUUACCGAAAGCGUUAAGUAUCCCACCUGGGGAGUAC